This 252-nucleotide ribosomal RNA is filed under the name uncultured bacterium. RNAcentral describes it as "partial 16S ribosomal RNA". It matches the Rfam family "Bacterial small subunit ribosomal RNA", at positions 524 to 776 of the family's 1533-position model. The record is from RNAcentral.
UACGUAGGUGGCAAGCGUUAUCCGGAUUUAUUGGGCGUAAAGCGAGCGCAGGUGGUUUAUUAAGUCUGGUGUAAAAGGCAGUGGCUCAACCAUUGUAUGCAUUGGAAACUGGUAGACUUGAGUGCAGGAGGGGAGAGUGGAAUUCCAUGUGUAGCGGUGAAAUGCGUAGAUAUAUGGAGGAACACCGGUGGCGAAAGCGGCUCUCUGGCCUGUAACUGACACUGAGGCUCGAAAGCGUGGGGAGCAAACAGG